CACACUGAAAUACCGCUUCUCGUACGAUCACCGAAGUUAAGCAAUGUUGUGCCUGGUCAGUACAUAGAUGGGUGACCGCAUGGGAAUACAGGUGGUGU
This is a non-coding RNA of Acanthosepion pharaonis, 98 nucleotides long. The record is from the annotation of a GenBank genome assembly. Lineage: Eukaryota; Metazoa; Mollusca; Cephalopoda; Sepiida; Sepiidae.